GUUGUGGCUCAGUGGCAGAGCACUUGCCUAGCAUGUGUGAGGCACUGGGUUCGAUCCUCAGCACCACA
This 68-nucleotide transfer RNA is filed under the name Marmota monax (woodchuck). RNAcentral describes it as "tRNA.Ala". Lineage: Eukaryota; Metazoa; Chordata; Mammalia; Rodentia; Sciuridae. The record is from RNAcentral.